RNAcentral lists this ribosomal RNA (117 nucleotides) under Ignavibacteriaceae bacterium. The record is from RNAcentral. Lineage: Bacteria; Pseudomonadati; Ignavibacteriota; Ignavibacteria; Ignavibacteriales; Ignavibacteriaceae.
UCUGGUGGUUAUAGCUGAGGGGUCACACCUCUUCCCAUUUCGAACAGAGAAGUUAAGUCCUCAAACGCCGAUGGUACUAUGCGCGCCGGUGCAUGGGAGAGUAGGAAGCUGCCAGAU